GACGAACGCUGGCGGCGUGCUUAACACAUGCAAGUCGAACGAAGAGCGACGGAAGCUUGCUUCUAUCAAUCUUAGUGGCGAACGGGUGAGUAACGCGUAAUCAACCUGCCCUUCAGAGGGGGACAACAGUUGGAAACGACUGCUAAUACCGCAUACGAUCUAAUCUCGGCAUCGAGGAUAGAUGAAAGGUGGCCUCUACAUGUAAGCUAUCACUGAAGGAGGGGAUUGCGUCUGAUUAGCUAGUUGGAGGGGUAACGGCCCACCAAGGCGAUGAUCAGUAGCCGGUCUGAGAGGAUGAACGGUCACAUUGGGACUGAGACACGGCCCAGACUCCUACGGGAGGCAGCAGUGGGGAAUCUUCCGCAAUGGACGAAAGUCUGACGGAGCAACGCCGCGUGAGUGAUGACGGCCUUCGGGUUGUAAAGCUCUGUUAAUCGGGACGAAAGGCCUUCUUGCGAA
RNAcentral lists this ribosomal RNA (459 nucleotides) under Veillonella parvula. Its description in RNAcentral is "bacterial SSU rRNA". It matches the Rfam family "Bacterial small subunit ribosomal RNA", at positions 28 to 464 of the family's 1533-position model. The record is from RNAcentral. Lineage: Bacteria; Bacillati; Bacillota; Negativicutes; Veillonellales; Veillonellaceae.